UUAUAACAUAUACUUAAAUAUCAUUUAGCACAUUAUUUAGAAUAUACUGCCUUUGUCCAACACUCCUUUCCCUGAGACUCAAUUCAUUCUAGUAGGCUUGUUUUGUCUGUCAUUAAAAUACUGACUUCCUCCAGCUGCUACUACCUCUUUCUUGGUCCUUUAAUUGUUCUCCUCAACCAUGAGUCAGCAGCUGGACUUGAUGGUCAGAACUCUCAUGGAGAAAAGAAAUUUUCUCUGGGUUCCAGCCUUAUGUGAUGUGUGCAUUCUUGGCUCAGAGGGGCUCAGUGUUGGGCUGCACUCAAGGUGAGAGCAAGGUUUUCAUUAGGAGAAAAGUACUACCUCAGGCUCCCACCUGUGAAGCACAGUGGAGGGGCAGAAGGAACAUAACCAGCACAAACAUUCAGGGCUUCUCAUGGCCCACCAGUGGAUUUUGGGUCAGUCUCAGUAAAAGAUGCCUUUUGGGGAGAUGCCUCCCGAAGCACUUGGACAACAAGUCUCUUCUCUGGUCCUCUCCAGGACUCAUUCUUCCUUAUGUUCCUCCUUGUCCUGGGAGGUGGGUCCUUUGCUUCCUGGCUUCCAGCUGGUCUAGCGGUGAGAUGACUGCAGGAGACCCGGGCAGGUCAGGACGUUUGUUCCCCUGGUGCUCUCUUUGUGGGAUUCCUCAGGUUCUCUCUCUGAUGGAAGGUCAGAGCACCUCCCAAGGGGGCCCUCUCCUCACGGUUCCGAGUUCUGCUAAGCACUCCCUUCCUCAACCCUAGCUCCGUGAGAAGAGCUUCCCCUGUGCACUGCUGCCUUCCUCAGUCUGGGUCGUAGAAUGAACCUAUGUGGAGCAGCCCAGACCUUUAUCUGCAGAGGAGGGAAUCCCAGCAGGACACCAGCUUGAGGCAGAGCUCCCAGCUGAGCCAGCUGACCUCCAGUGAACCCACAGCCUGGGAGAAGCACAUGCUUAUUGCUGCAUUUCACCGAGAUUGUGUGAUAAAGGGUAGCAACACCCUACAGCUACUAGCACCAGGGUUCUGCACUUACCCCACAAAUACUCCCUUUAUUAAGCCCUUGGGGAGCCACCCUAAUUUGAGUGUCAUCUGUUUCCUGUAGUGACACCAAGUGAAUGACAUAGGCACCAGCCUAGCUCUUUCCUAACAUUAUAUCAUGUUGCCAGCAAAGCUCAAAAUAUGACAUUUGAUACCAGCAGCCCGUCUUCUGUUUCCCGUUUGCUACUCAAUAUUCUCCUGAAAGCCUGUUCUUAGAAGCUAAUAAUGACAUUUAAUUCUUUUUAUGUAUUAUUAAAAUU
Long non-coding RNA from Bos taurus (domestic cattle), 1291 nucleotides. The record is from Ensembl. Lineage: Eukaryota; Metazoa; Chordata; Mammalia; Artiodactyla; Bovidae.